RNAcentral lists this ribosomal RNA (497 nucleotides) under uncultured bacterium. RNAcentral's name for it is "partial 16S ribosomal RNA". It matches the Rfam family "Bacterial small subunit ribosomal RNA", at positions 28 to 507 of the family's 1533-position model. The record is from RNAcentral.
GAUGAACGCUGGCGGCGUGCCUAAUACAUGCAAGUCGAGCGAACAGACGAGGAGCUUGCUCCUCUGACGUUAGCGGCGGACGGGUGAGUAACACGUGGAUAACCUACCUAUAAGACUGGGAUAACUUCGGGAAACCGGAGCUAAUACCGGAUAAUAUAUUGAACCGCAUGGUUCAAUAGUGAAAGACGGUUUUGCUGUCACUUAUAGAUGGAUCCGCGCCGCAUUAGCUAGUUGGUAAGGUAACGGCUUACCAAGGCGACGAUGCGUAGCCGACCUGUGAGGGUGAUCGGCCACACUGGAACUGAGACACGGUCCAGACUCCUACGGGAGGCAGCAGUAGGGAAUCUUCCGCAAUGGGCGAAAGCCUGACGGAGCAACGCCGCGUGAGUGAUGAAGGUCUUCGGAUCGUAAAACUCUGUUAUGAGGGAAGAACAAAUGUGUAAGUAACUAUGCACGUCUUGACGGUACCUAAUCAGAAAGCCACGGCUAACUACGUG